GCAAACUCAAGAGCUUUCACUCCACACUUGCCCACACGUUUUUUGCCUCCAAGCUUUCAAGUGCUCAAAUGUCUUAGCUUUCCAAAGCUUCAAAAGCUUUCCAACUUCUUCUUCUAAUCUUCUUGUUCGAUCAUCUCUACAAGUAAGAAGUGUUGUUUGCUUAAAUAUUUCACUUCUCUAAUCACCUCUUGUGUGUGUCCACUUUGGUUGAGAGGGUUGUCUCAAUAGUACCAAAGUGUGAGAGAAGGUUUUUGAGCUCAAUCAUAAAGCUCUAGUUUGGUUUUAUAGAGUUUCCGGGAAAACUCUUAGAUCGAAUCUACCUUGAAAGAUUUUUAGAUUUUUAAGAGUUCCUUGAUACUCUAAGGUGUGAGUCUACCCGUAAAAGACUGGCUUCUAAACGAAGUUAGCCUUAAUGCUUAGAAAGGUUUUUAAGAGUUCCUUUGAUACUCUAAGGUGUGAGUCUACCCGUAAAAGACUGGUUCCUAAGCGAAGUUAGCUUUAAAGCUUAGAAAGGUUUUUAAGAGUUCCUUUGAUACUCUAAGGUGUGAGUCUACCCGUAAAAGACUGGUUCCUAAGCGAAGUUAGCUUUAAAGCUUAGAGAGGUUUUUAAGAGUUUCCUUGAUACUCUAAGGUUUUGCCAUUAUCUUUAGGCUAGUGAAUUUCGACAGUUGGUCGGGACUGGAUUAGCCCUUGUUUGGGUGAACCAAUAUAAAUUCUCUUGUGUUGUUCUUUGUUAACUUUAGUUUUUUAUUUUUCAUCUAAAAACAACUAAACAACACUUAAUUGAAAAGGAUCCCUCUUCCAGUUAUCUGGUCAAAUACAGAGGUUGACUACUUUACGCAGAUCCCUCAUUCAGUUAUCUGGUCAACUAUCUGAGGUUAUAAUCAUUGCAUUAAAUCUUUAUUCAAAUAUUUGUUCAAGCAUUUACUUAUCAAAUAUAUAUAUCCAGUUAUCUGGCCAUUUACUCUAUAAUAUAAUUUGUGUUUGCAAUAUAACUUAGUAUUCAUAUACUCAAGUUAUUUACAACACUAUCAAAUAAGUUGACUCAGUAUUCAUAUACUGUAGUAAGUUUUGAAGAGUAAUAAUUACAAUAUUAUCUAAAAAUUAUAAUACUAUUAUUGUUCAACCAUUUGUGUCUUAAGUGUUUACAGGUAAUUCCGCAAUCACCCUGUAUAAAUCGAAAAGAGGUUAUUAUCCUCCCUUAUAGCCUCGGAUCACGAUCCAACAAAAACUACCAAAGAGGCAGAAAUUUCAACAACAAUUUCAGACUUCAAAGACCACAAGCCAGGGCAUACAACAGCUACUCUGAGGAGGUUGAAAACCAACAGUGGCAAGAAAAUGAAAACAACUAUGCAAUGGAAGAAAUGAAUCAGAAGUACUACACAACUGAAAAUGACAACUAGAACGACAAUGGAUAUCAAAAUGACACCCCCUGUCAAUCUGAAUAUCAGAAUGGGAGUCAAAACAACCAGGACAUAAUGGAACAACUGAGAUGUCUGCUCAACCAAAAUCAAAAUCAUCAAACAGAAGAAGAAAAGCACUACGUGCACAUGGGCAGGGCACAAACACAAUCAGAAACAAACAUGAACCCCAAUCACACUGGUAAGCCCCAAAAAUCACUCUGUUUCAAUACCAAAACUAAAAACACCACUGAUUGGAUAAUAGACAGUGGAGCCACAGAUCACAUGUGUGGACCAGCCAUCACACUAAGUGACAAAAGAGCACUAGUGAAACCAAUCAUUGUAAAUCUUCCAAACUCGCAAAUAACGACUGUGAGAUACAUUGGGAAUUACAAAAUAGACGAUCUGCAAACAUUGCACAAUGAACUACAAAUCACUGAUUUCAAUGUAAACUUGAUAUCAGUAACCAAACUUACAAAACAGUUAAAAUGUAGUUUCUCAUUCCAUCCUGAUCAUUGUUUGAUACAGGAUUCGAAGGUGAGAUUGAUUUCUAUGGGUAAAAGGAUUGAUGGACUCUACAUGCUGAAUGGAAGAAAAGAGAACCUGGAGCACCCAAGGUCAUAUUCUGUCAACAGAGAACCAUCAGCAAACAUCUGGUGCAAAAGACUGGGACACCCAUCCCAGAUUAAAUAUGAUUUAAUUAGAAAAAACAGUGUUUCUUUACCAAAAUUGGAGAAUGUAUUUUGUAAUGAAUAUCCAAUGGC
RNAcentral lists this long non-coding RNA (2164 nucleotides) under Zostera marina. RNAcentral's name for it is "long non-coding RNA (ZMAR_LNC000445)". The record is from RNAcentral. Lineage: Eukaryota; Viridiplantae; Streptophyta; Magnoliopsida; Alismatales; Zosteraceae.